GGGUUGUGAGGUUAAGCGACUAAGCGUACACGGUGGAUGCCCUGGCAGUCAGAGGCGAUGAAGGGCGUGCUAAUCUGCGAUAAGCGCCGGUAAGGUGAUAUGAACCGUUAUAACCGGCGAUACCCGAAUGGGGAAACCCAGUGUGACUCGUCACACUAUCAUUAACUGAAUCCAUAGGUUAAUGAGGCGAACCGGGGGAACUGAAACAUCUAAGUACCCCGAGGAAAAGAAAUCAACCGAGAUUCCCCCAGUAGCGGCGAGCGAACGGGGAGGAGCCCAGAGCCUGAAUCAGCAUGUGUGUUAGUGGAAGCGUCUGGAAAGGCGCGCGAUACAGGGUGACAGCCCCGUACACAAAAGCGCAUGUGCUGUGAGCUCGAUGAGUAGGGCGGGACACGUGGUAUCCUGUCUGAAUAUGGGGGG
RNAcentral lists this ribosomal RNA (420 nucleotides) under Salmonella enterica subsp. enterica serovar Worthington str. BCH-3194. RNAcentral describes it as "partial 23S ribosomal RNA". It matches the Rfam family "Bacterial large subunit ribosomal RNA", at positions 1 to 451 of the family's 2925-position model. The record is from RNAcentral. Lineage: Bacteria; Pseudomonadati; Pseudomonadota; Gammaproteobacteria; Enterobacterales; Enterobacteriaceae.